Esox lucius (northern pike) is the source of this 773-nucleotide long non-coding RNA. RefSeq lists it as uncharacterized. Lineage: Eukaryota; Metazoa; Chordata; Actinopteri; Esociformes; Esocidae. The record is from RefSeq and is a predicted model, not a curated record. The transcript is spliced from 3 exons.
CAUAGACAUAAUAUUGCCUGAUAUCAUGGUAUUAAACAAAACAGAUAACAGAAAUCACAUUUUGCAAAGCACAGUAUAAUUCACAGUUAUCCCUCAAUGUUACUGUGAUGUUCUGUUGUUUAUCUGGAGAAAGGGAGACCUCUAGUGGUGACUCCUAACGUGAUGUUUAUGUUGUACUAGCAGUCUUGCUACAGUUCGAUGAUAGAUGGUGAAGUAAAUGGUCACAUAUUUUCUCUUUGGAUUUAAGUUGGCCAGAAAAACGUUUGCCUUUUUACAGUACUUUUCGAGUAAAGUUUGGAAAGGAUACACAGGCUUCUUUCUUGUCUUUAGGAAACUGUUAGAUAUCUGCCAAGCUAAUGUAACAGGCUGGACCGUGCCACACACACACAGAAGCGGGGGCAGAACAAUUACUAGAAUUUCAGCAAUAUGCUGAAAGUGCAAUCGAGCAAGUGAUUGAUAAUUUUGACACAGCGAAGGAUAAGGACACCCUGGCACAGUGCAACCCUUAAUUUGCAGCUUGGAUGCUCAGUGAGAUGCAGUACCGAUGAUGACAGCACUGCGUGGGUACGGUGGGUUGAAAUUCCACAUGGCUUGUGAAACAGUCAUCAGGGAAUAAGGGGCAUUCUAUUCUGACUGGGCAAAGCUGAGAAAGAUUGGCAAGCACAAUUCCAGUGUCCAGUGAGCCUGUAAGUGUGGAUUCUCACUCUAGAACACGAUAAAAACAGCCCUUGUUUUAUUUUUUUGUUGUAGCCUAUAUGCUCAGUUUGCAAAGU